GAUGAACGCUGGCGGCGUGCCUAAUACAUGCAAGUAGAACGCUGAAGGAAGGAGCUUGCUCUUUCCGGAUGAGUUGCGAACGGGUGAGUAACGCGUAGGUAACCUGCCUGGUAGCGGGGGAUAACUAUUGGAAACGAUAGCUAAUACCGCAUAACAGUAGAUGUUGCAUGACAACUAUUUGAAAGGGGCAAUUGCUCCACUACCAGAUGGACCUGCGUUGUAUUAGCUAGUUGGUGAGGUAACGGCUCACCAAGGCGACGAUACAUAGCCGACCUGAGAGGGUGAUCGGCCACACUGGGACUGAGACACGGCCCAGACUCCUACGGGAGGCAGCAGUAGGGAAUCUUCGGCAAUGGACGGAAGUCUGACCGAGCAACGCCGCGGGAGUGAAGAAGGUUGUCGGAUCGUAAAGCUCUGUUGUAAGAGAAGAACGAGUGUGAGAGUGGAAAGUUCACACUGUGACGGUAUCUUACCAGAAAGGGACGGCUAACUACGUG
This 497-nucleotide ribosomal RNA is filed under the name uncultured bacterium. Its description in RNAcentral is "partial 16S ribosomal RNA". It matches the Rfam family "Bacterial small subunit ribosomal RNA", at positions 28 to 507 of the family's 1533-position model. The record is from RNAcentral.